RNAcentral lists this transfer-messenger RNA (375 nucleotides) under Nanchangia anserum. Its description in RNAcentral is "Standard tmRNA". It matches the Rfam family "transfer-messenger RNA". Rfam says of the family: Bacterial tmRNA, also known as 10Sa RNA or SsrA, is named for its dual tRNA and mRNA-like properties. Its role is to liberate the mRNA from a stalled ribosome. The record is from Rfam by way of RNAcentral. Lineage: Bacteria; Bacillati; Actinomycetota; Actinomycetes; Actinomycetales; Actinomycetaceae.
GGGGCCGAUCGGUUUCGACGGUGGUUGGUGAUUCACGGGAAGCGUGCCGAGAAUGUGAAGUCAUCUCGAUAACGUCCUUCACACACCAAUAAGUGCUGAACAUAACCGCACUGACUUCGCCCUCGCUGCCUAAGUCCAGCGAGCGCCUUAAGUCCGUCAGCCCGUAGUUGCUUCAGCUACGGAUCCUGGCGUCAUCUAUGAAGCCACUGGCGUCGCGGCAGGUUACGGGUCGCAACGCGAGAUUUACGUAACUGGGCUCGUUAGCCGCUUGUUCGCGAGACAGGCUAGAGCCGAGAAACGCGUCAGCGAACUGCGCACGGAGAAGCCGUGUGGAUCAGCCAUCGGACCGGGGUUCGAUUCCCCGCGGCUCCACUC